Molecule: non-coding RNA, 1279 nt
Organism: Dermacentor andersoni
Lineage: Eukaryota; Metazoa; Arthropoda; Arachnida; Ixodida; Ixodidae
Source: RefSeq, a predicted model, not a curated record
GCCGAUACGAAUGAUAACGGCGGUGCGGCUGCAUGCGCUCGUUCCACGCCCGAACGCGUGGCGAAGGGCGAAAACAAUACGGGAUCGUUACAAGAUAAAUGGUCCCCAAAGUCAACCACUGCUAACUACUAAGUGCUCGGGUUUGCUGACAGCGCAUCACGAUCGUCUGCGGGCGCUGUAUUAUAACGUCGCGCCGGCGGCGUCUUGUCUCGUCCACCCGGCAGCGAUAUGCGUGUACGUAUUUUGUCGCAUGCCCAGCAGGAAUCUCUUUCACGAACGGCAUCCGCUGAACUAAGUGACGCAUGAAGCAGCCUGCGCGCGUGAUCUCAGCGGCAGUCGUGAGAAGGGCAGACGCGGCUCACCUGUCAUGGAGCUGAUGCCGAGUGUCAGCGACAUGUUCCUGUCGACCAAGAACAGCCGGUGCAGGAAGCGGUUCUGCUGCGGCCGCCUGCGGCGCAUGUCUGUCGUCGAGACCUGGCCAUCCUCCUUGAAGACGUGCAGCUUGCGGCCCGACCACACGCCCACGCACACGAUGACGAUGAAAUACAACAGCAUGGCCAGCACCGCCGGGAUGUGCACCGCCAUGGUGCCUCUUCUUCAUCUUCUUCAUCUCACUAGCCGCGCGUGCUCGGCCUCGAACUUGCGCGAGACGCUUUGCUCACGUAGAGCUAUCGCAGCGCCGUGCUCGCCGGCUGAUCGGAGUUUCUGCCGCCAUUAAUUAACACACCCGACCAGACAGAAAAUGGGAGGCAGCGCUGUCCACCUCCGACUCGUUUGACCGUCUCGAACUGGUCGACCGAGUGAGGAGGACAGCUAAGGUCGCUGGAAUGCUGGACUGAGAGGACCCCCUGCCCACUGCAGGGCGGAAGAACUUCCCGGCGCUCACUUCGAUCGCGUGCUGUUCUGGAAAUUUUUUUAGCUCUCUCGCUCUCGUUAUCCAUUAGCCCCAACGAUGAUCGGUGCUUGGUAUAAUUUAUUGCCCCAGAACGGAGACACGCUCUAAACUGGUUGCUUUAUCCUAGCUGUGCAUAGCCUUUGCAUCAAAGAUACGAUUAAGAAAACCUACCUCGUCCUCGUCUGAAUGGCCGAAUGUACUACCUGCAUUCUUGCGGUUGCGGGGCUACUAUCAAACACGUGCACUCCAGGAAAUAAUGUGCACCCUUUUGAAAAUUAUCUUGACCCGCCAUGGUCGCGUAGUGACUUUGGUGCUGCGCUGAUAACCACGAGGUCACGGGAUCAUAUAUCCCGGCCGCGGCUGCUCAUUUUGAUGAGGGCGAAA